GACACGCCGCCCACCGCAGCCCCAGCCUCUCGCGUGGGGCCUCUGCCCGCACACACGCAGCCAGGCACUGUAAGCAUCUUCACUUUUUGUUUUUUGCUGAUGUUGAUUUAGUUGCUAAUUGGUGACAGAAAUUGUCAAAUAGGUGGCAGAUAGCGACUGCGGAAACUUCCGUUGAAGGAGGUGAGAAAAUCCUUUCAAAGAUGAACUGCCGCCUGAAAAGGGAUGGCUCACUAAAUUUCUCCCAGAUAUUUAUUGCUCGUAUUAAAAAGAUAAAUCAGAAAAGAGGAGCGAAGGCAUAAACCAGGCUUCUAAUGUGAGGAAAAACACGGAAUGACAAGUGUGGGAAAGAGCAAGCACUAAAUUACUGUCAGAAAAAUAAACGGAGUAGCACAGUGCUGCUCGGUGAUUUACGGGGGCAAUUAGUCACCACCCCACGGCGCUGCUGAGGACAGCACGGCAGCAGACAAGUCAGGCCCAUGAGGAAGAAGAGGCUUUGCACUGCUCUCCAGACAACUUUUCAAACAACAAGAGAGGAUAUUUGAGCACAUUAGGUUUUGUGUCUUCAUUCUGGCCGUGUGAAGAUGUGCCUGCUUCGCCUUCCAUCAUGACUGAAGUUUCCUGAGGCCUCCCCAGCUAUGCUCCCUAUACAGCCUGCAGAACGGUCGGCUGCCUCCAAUCCUGAGGUCAUCACUCAUCAAGAGGGGAUAAUCCCAGGGACAGCAGGAUCUGCUUCGUUACUUGGAUUUAGGAGCCAGAAACCCAUCAGGCAACUAAACAGUAACAAUGACCCGCCAUUAAACACACUGAGAGAAGAGCAUGAUGAAGAGUUUGUACAAGAAGAAGCCAGGAGCACUUGCUGACAAUGCUUACAGAGACGCAGGCUUCUAUGAGCUCUGCCUGUUGAACUGCAGUAAAAAUAGAUCUCCUUCCCCAGAGAGGCUUGGAUGUGGGCACAAUAUCAGUUCAGACGAUGGUCAAUGCAUGUACUUAAUAGAGUGAAAAGACUUUGGACUGUGAAGUCAGAUUACCUGGGUCUGAAUUGUUAUUCUUCUACUUCUUUGUAGUAUGCUUUCACCACAUUAAAAAUUGUCUGAGCCUCAAUUUUUUUAUCUGCAAAAUGGAGCUAAUACCUACACAGGGGCUUUUAAGAGAAUCAAAUGCAACAAUGUUUGAAAAGCAACAUACUCCCCUUUAUGGAAAAAGAGCCUGUAAA
This 1213-nucleotide long non-coding RNA is filed under the name Homo sapiens (human). RNAcentral's name for it is "PREDICTED lncRNA (TCONS_00017978)". Lineage: Eukaryota; Metazoa; Chordata; Mammalia; Primates; Hominidae. The record is from RNAcentral.